GACGAACGCUGGCGGCGUGCCUAAUACAUGCAAGUAGAACGCUGAAGGAGGAGCUUGCUCUUCUGGAUGAGUUGCGAACGGGUGAGUAACGCGUAGGUAACCUGCCUGGUAGCGGGGGAUAACUAGUGGAAACGAUAGCUAAUACCGCAUAACAGUAGAUGUUGCAUGACAUUUACUUAAAAGGUGCAAUUGCAUCACUACCAGAUGGACCUGCGUUGUAUUAGCUAGUUGGUGGGGUAACGGCUCACCAAGGCGACGAUACAUAGCCGACCUGAGAGGGUGAUCGGCCACACUGGGACUGAGACACGGCCCAGACUCCUACGGGAGGCAGCAGUAGGGAAUCUUCGGCAAUGGACGGAAGUCUGACCGAGCAACGCCGCGUGAGUGAAGAAGGUUUUCGGAUCGUAAAGCUCUGUUGCAAGAGAAGAACGAGUGUGAGAGUGGAAAGUUCACACUGUGACGGUAUCUUACCAGAAAGGGACGGCUAACUACGUG
This 495-nucleotide ribosomal RNA is filed under the name uncultured bacterium. RNAcentral's name for it is "partial 16S ribosomal RNA". It matches the Rfam family "Bacterial small subunit ribosomal RNA", at positions 28 to 507 of the family's 1533-position model. The record is from RNAcentral.